This 207-nucleotide ribosomal RNA is filed under the name uncultured bacterium. RNAcentral describes it as "partial 16S ribosomal RNA". It matches the Rfam family "Bacterial small subunit ribosomal RNA", at positions 568 to 774 of the family's 1533-position model. The record is from RNAcentral.
GGUGUAGGCGGCUUGACAAGUCGGGUGUGAAAUCUCUGGGCCCAACCUAGGAACUGCACUCGAAACUGUCUUGCUAGAGUCCCGGAGAGGGUGGCGGAAUUCCCGGUGUAGAGGUGAAAUUCGUAGAUAUCGGGAGGAACACCAGUGGCGAAGGCGGCCACCUGGACGGUGACUGACGCUCAGACCCGAAAGCGUGGGGAGCGAACA